GGAAGGAUCUCUAUCUGGAGAUCACCUCUCUUGGAGCCCUUCUGUGAGCCUAGGACAUGGGAGCAGUGAUGAGACCACAGCUUCUAUCCUCAAGAAAUGGUGAUCUCUACAGAAGGAAAUUUGUUUUAAUAAUUAAUCACUUUGUUAACAGUGACAACAAAUAGAAUGCUCCACAGAGUUCAUAUAAGGAGUAUUAUGGUUCAGCACAAGUGUCUUAAAUGCCAGUCAUCCAUGUCUCUCUCCUUUCCUUGGAAGAAAUGCAGUGUGCUGACAGUCCAGCUCAUUAUAGCCAUUGUUAUGAGUCAUUUUCUAGCUGUUCUCCAUUCCCUCAUAGAACAAAGACUGCAGUGCUUCAGAAACUUCUUUGCUUUUUUUUCACUGAGUUGCUGUGACGUGGUGGCUUCUUUAUGUUUUAGAUCAUUUAAACACUGACAUGAAUGUGAUCAUGUUUCAACAGUGCAACACCAUGCAGCACAUUUUUAAUGUAGUGCAUUUUGAUAAUUUUUUUUGCAUUUUAGUAUACUGUGAAUCUAUUGCUACUAUGCAAAAAUAUGAAGAUGAAAGAAUAACCUUCUGUUAAUAAAUAGACAACUUCUGUUGUGAAUCUUUUCCAGGCACCUGCUAUACUUCUGAAGACUGUUUGAUAUUUUUUAGCAUCUGGAGUUCCUCAGAAUACCCCUUUUUGUUUUUCCUUUCUAUCUCUGCUGCUCUGAAAGUAAUGCCUUCUAUUUUAUUAUGUUGGCCCACAAUUUCAGAGGCAGAUGUUGGUGAUAUGUCAGUAGAGGUGGAACUUUCCCACCAAUAUUCCAUUAUACGUUUUUUGCCAUACAACAGAUGGCAGCAGAGUUGCAGUCUAACAAAAUGGUGUCUGACACAGAAGAGUUUAUGAAGCAAAGGUGCAUUAUUGAAUUUGUCCAUGCAGAAAGAAGUGGCACUCACUGACAUUCAUUGACAUUUGGAAAUCAAAAGGCACCAAAUUCAGAUGAUGUUGGGGUUGUGGCAGGACAGUUCAGCCAAGAUUGGCAAUGUACUUCAUUGCCUUGAAAUUGGUAUGGGGCCUGGUGCUACUGUUUUGCAAGAGAAAUGUAUCUUCUCUGUCCUCACUCUGGAACUUCAAGCCUUCAGAUUAGUCAACAUCAUGGUGUAGCAAUCAGACUUGAUGUUUAGUCUGAGUUCUGGGAAAUCCAGAGGGUUGUCUCUUUCCUAUCCCAAAGGACAGUGCAUGUCCCUUUAACUACUGAGGACUGCAUCUUAAACUUUUUCUUCAAUAGGGAAUUCACAUCACCACUCCAUGGACUGCUGUUUUGACUUCGGCUUGUAAUGGUGACAUCAUACCUGGUAAUUAUGCAGUCCAGGAGCCUGUCACUUUCAGCUUCAUAUUUGUUCUGUAGGUCUUGAUGAACUUGCAUAUGGUGUUCUUUCUUUCCCUGUGUUAGAAUUUAUAGGAUUCACCUGGUGCAAACUGUGUGAUAUUCUAGUGUUGCCACCAUUGUUUCCAGCAAACCGAAGGCAAUAUUCAGCUCUCUACAGAGUUCCAUGGUCAUAAUCUGCUGAUUUACAUGGAUGAGCUGAUAGAGAAGCUUUUCAUUUCAAGGUGCAACAGUUGUGCACAACUGUCAAGAAUGCAUCUUGUCUUUCAUGUCACUGUUGCCACUCUUGACAUACACUGCUCACCACCUCACUGUGUUCACAUCCACUGUUUGGUCUCCAUAAACAUUCAGCAAGUGUCCAUGAAUGUCAGUGGAUGCAGUUUUUUUCUGCAUAGAGGAAUUCAAUUCUGCACCUUUCCUUUAUACGCACUUCUGUGUCAGGUGCCAUUCUGUCAGAUUGCUCCUUUGCUACCAACUGUCACAUGGCAAUGAAAUGUAAUGGAUUUUUGGUUCAGUCUCUACUGUCAUACUACCAACAUGUACCAUGUCGGACACCAUGGUCGACAUAAUAAAAUAGGAGGCAUUAGUUUUGAAGCAAUUCCUGCAUAUGUCCCAGCAAAUAGCACAUCCUUUUGUCAAGAAAUAAUAUUCUCCAUCAGAGCUUUAUGAAUUAAAAUCUUCUGAGUUAAAUUAAGAUCUUACUAUUUUUUACAUGAAAAGACUAUGUGAUAUCACUUGCUUUUAUCCUUAAAUUCAUUAGGUAGAGCACCUUUUUAAACAUGAAAAUACUGAAGCAUGCACCAUGUCUUCUAUAUAUAUCUCUAUGGACAUUUUUGUCUCCAACAAAAUCAUUAUGCUAAGUGGUUGAAUAAUUACAGUUAGCUAAUGUAGUAGGGGUAGGCAGACCUUGAAAUUUUCAGUUUUGUAUUACAUAAUUAAAUAUUCAUAGAGUCAGAAAAGCAACAGUCAAAUAUUUAUUGCCUAGCAGUUAAGGAG
Molecule: long non-coding RNA, 2366 nt
Organism: Gallus gallus (chicken)
Lineage: Eukaryota; Metazoa; Chordata; Aves; Galliformes; Phasianidae
Source: Ensembl